Molecule: transfer RNA, 70 nt
Filed under: Podarcis lilfordi (Lilford's wall lizard)
Lineage: Eukaryota; Metazoa; Chordata; Lepidosauria; Squamata; Lacertidae
Description: tRNA.Ile
Source: RNAcentral
GGAUAGCAAAGUUGGUUAGAGCAUGGUGCUGAUAACGCCAAGAUUGCAGGUUCGAUUCCCAUGAGGGACA